GACGAACGCUGGCGGCGUGCUUAACACAUGCAAGUCGAACGGAAAGGCCCUGCUUUUGUGGGGUGCUCGAGUGGCGAACGGGUGAGUAACACGUGAGUAACCUGCCCUUGACUUUGGGAUAACUUCAGGAAACUGGGGCUAAUACCGUAUAGGAUCUCCUGCUCCAUGGUGGGGGUUGGAAAGUUUCGGCGGUUGGGGAUGGACUCGCGGCUUAUCGGCUUGUUGGUGGGGUAGUGGCUUACCAAGGCUUUGACGGGUAGCCGGCCUGAGAGGGUGACAGGACACAAUGGGACUGAGAGACGGACCAGACUCCUACGGGAGGCAGCAGUGGGGAAUAUGGCACAAUGGGCGGAAGCCGGAUGAAGAAACGCCGCGUGCGGGAUGACGGCCUUCGGGUUGUAAACCGCAUUCGCCUGUGACGAAGCGUGAGUGACGGUAAUGGGUAAAGAAGCACCGGCUAACUACGUG
RNAcentral lists this ribosomal RNA (468 nucleotides) under uncultured bacterium. RNAcentral's name for it is "partial 16S ribosomal RNA". It matches the Rfam family "Bacterial small subunit ribosomal RNA", at positions 28 to 507 of the family's 1533-position model. The record is from RNAcentral.